RNAcentral lists this ribosomal RNA (365 nucleotides) under uncultured bacterium. RNAcentral's name for it is "bacterial SSU rRNA". It matches the Rfam family "Bacterial small subunit ribosomal RNA", at positions 527 to 896 of the family's 1533-position model. The record is from RNAcentral.
GGAGGAUCCAAGCGUUAUCCGGAAUCAUUGGGUUUAAAGGGUCCGUAGGCGGUCUUGUAAGUCAGUGGUGAAAGCCCAUCGCUCAACGGUGGAACGGCCAUUGAUACUGCAGGACUUGAAUUACUGGGAAGCAACUAGAAUAUGUAGCGUAGCGGUGAAAUGCUUAGAGAUUACAUGGAAUACCAAUUGCGAAGGCAGGUUGCUACCAGUGGAUUGACGCUGAUGGACGAAAGCGUGGGUAGCGAACAGGAUUAGAUACCCUGGUAGUCCACGCCGUAAACGAUGGAUACUAGCUGUUGGGCGCAAGUUCAGUGGCUAAGCGAAAGUGAUAAGUAUCCCACCUGGGGAGUACGAACGCAAGUUUG